Aedes albopictus (Asian tiger mosquito) is the source of this 58-nucleotide non-coding RNA. NCBI's taxonomy places the organism in Eukaryota, Metazoa, Arthropoda, Insecta, Diptera, Culicidae. The record is from Rfam.
UGGCCUAGUGGUUAAGGCUAUGGAUCGCCAAUCCGGAGACGGCGGGUUCGAUUCCCGU